This 27-nucleotide non-coding RNA is filed under the name Drosophila yakuba. RNAcentral also lists the same sequence under 3 other names. The record is from RNAcentral. Lineage: Eukaryota; Metazoa; Arthropoda; Insecta; Diptera; Drosophilidae.
CGCCUGGGAAUACCGGGUGCUGUAGGC